This 1254-nucleotide long non-coding RNA is filed under the name Olea europaea (common olive). Its description in RNAcentral is "long non-coding RNA (OEUR_LNC007372)". Lineage: Eukaryota; Viridiplantae; Streptophyta; Magnoliopsida; Lamiales; Oleaceae. The record is from RNAcentral.
AGAUAAAAUCUUUGUAUUUGAAGUGUUGAAUCAUAAUAUCUAAAAGCUUAAACAUUUGGAGAGAAAAUAAAUGUAAUUAUUUUUGUGUUUGCAGUCAUCACCAAAGCAAGGCAGGUAGAAAUGGCGUUUACCAAGACUAUCGCGUCUUCCCAUUGAAGGGAAGCUGUCUUCAUGGGGCCUUAACAAUCCCUGUGACAAUGUCAAAAGCAUGACGAACCUGGUCAAAUCAAGAAGCUUUAUGUCGAGAUAGGUUUCGGUUUGUGAACCGAAGUCACUUCUAUCCUAGAAUAGCAAAUAUCAACGGCAUAAAGGAGUCUCUAUAAAUUACAGUUAUACUAACAUGGUCUUACUUUCACAAAAUAUAAUUGAAAGAAACCAGAGCAAUGAAAAUUUCAAUUUCUCCCAUAAUCCAGUGAAUAAAUUCACAAAUUCAUAUGAUUCGUAACUUAAUUAUAGCAGUUUUAUUUAUUCGUACCAGUAAGUUAAAAGUUAACCUGCAAUCUCUAAUAUCGAUUAAGAAGUCAAGGCCAUUCAGGAGGAUCACCAAGCUUCGCCUUCACAGGUAAGAGCCUUGGAUUGCAAAAUGGAUCUCUGUGUCGAGAAAAACAAACUCUCCGGGUAUGUUUCCAUGUGAAAUGAAUCCUUAGCAGCAUGAACUCCAAUAUGUUAUACCUCAAAUCAGUGGGAUCAGACAAGACCAGCUUACGACUGGCUAUUUCCACUAGUAUGUCUCCAUUGUUUGUAAACCCCACAAACUUCUUAUGUUCUCAAAUCAUAUCAACAAUGUACAUCUCCCUCCUAACCAUACCAUACUCCAUCACCCACGCUAAAGACGUCUAUUUCUUCCGGCUAUGAUUCCAUGACUCCUCAGGGUUAUACUCGGGGUUUCAGGAGAAUCAAGUAUUUUUUUAAUUGGUGGUUUCCUCAGAAUAAUGCCAUGAACAGGAUGUGCUAGACUAAAAACAGAGUUUUUUUACAAUUAGAAAAAACAAGUCAUCAGACAAGCCCACUAUUUGAAAAUGGGGGUAGAUUUAGACUCGAAAAGGAAGUCUAGUUCUCGCAUAUUGUCCACGUCGUUUGGUAAAAACAAGUAGAGUUCAAUCAGUGGGAUUUGGAAGUUGAAAAUAUAGGUGAUUAAAAGGUAAAAUUCCACUUGUUUCUAAGAUGUGGAUACACAACGCAGAUAUGUAGUAUGCAAAGCUGAGGAUCUCAUUUCGCUUAGGGGUAAAGAUCAUAUUUUGUAAUUAGAAUUGA